UACGGAGGUGGCAAGCGUUGCUCGGAAUCACUGGGCGUAAAGGGCGCGUAGGCGGGGAGGCAAGUCGGGUGUGAAAUCCCUCGGCCCAACCGAGGAACUGCGCCCGAGACUGCUUCUCUUGAGUCCCGGAGAGGAAGAUGGAAUUCCCGGUGUAGCGGUGAAAUGUGUAGAGAUCGGGAGGAACACCGGUGGCGAAGGCGGUCUUCUGGACGGUGACUGACGCUGAGGCGCGAAAGCGUGGGGAGCAAACGGG
This 253-nucleotide ribosomal RNA is filed under the name uncultured bacterium. RNAcentral's name for it is "partial 16S ribosomal RNA". It matches the Rfam family "Bacterial small subunit ribosomal RNA", at positions 524 to 776 of the family's 1533-position model. The record is from RNAcentral.